AAAAGAUGAGAAAAAUAAAAUGGGGAAACGAAAUAGAAAAACACAGAAUUUCCAGCAAAACUUUACAUCAAGAGAAUUUCCAUCUGCCUUUGGCUUUAUGCGCUUCACCCUUGAGUGCAGGAAUACUCCAGCAAGGGCCACUCCAUCUAAUAAAAUGAGUCAUAAAUUAGUCAUGAUACCAAAAAUGAGUCAUAAAUCAGUCAUAAUACCAAAAAUUUCCUAAAUCAGUCAUGAUACCAAAAAUGAGUCAUAAAUCAGUCAUGAUAUCAAGAGCAUCCGAUGAAGUUCUGACAACAAUGAAGUUCUGACAAUCAUAAAUACUGCUAAUGCAAGGUGCAAAAAACAGAAUCAAGCAUUUUAAAAAAACUAAAGCAUAAGCUCAUCCAUGCAUAAGCAAGCAACUAGACUGUUUGUCAUCAACCUGUCUAUCUCUAAAAUAGUAUUAUGAGAAUGAAAUCAACUAAUCUAGACAUGUACCAGUGACCUUAUAAUGUAGAUAAGAUCAACUCUCUACAAUGACAGACUUUUCUUUCACAAUGACAGACAUAAGGCCUUCCAUGUUUGUUUUUCUUUUUUGUUUUGAUAAGUGAAACAUAAGACAUAAGGCCUUCCAUGUUUGUCAGAAUCUCCACUGAAAUUGUAAGCAUUUUUUCAACUUGAAAAAACAGUGCACAGUUUCAACUUGAAAAAGUGGACUUGCAAACAAUCAGAUCAAGACCAUCUUUUCACAACAAAAUUAAAAAACAGCAAAAAAGGCACAACUACCUGACUUUAAAGUGGUACCAAAAGUCAGUCCCAUGAUUACUGCAAUUCUGAAGGACACUCUGUAGACAAAAAUUUCCAAAUUAAUACAAAUAUAUAGAUAUACAAGUGUUGUUAUAGCAAUCUCAGUUCAACCUAUGAGUGAAUCACAUUCCUCAUCUACACUUGGAUCUUGAGUAGCACCAACAUUUGAUUCUCCAAUUCUACAAGGCAAAACUCAUGCUCCAGUUUGAAAUCAUCAAGUUGAACGAGUUCAAUGGACCAUAUGCAUCUGAGAAUAAAGGAAAUCAAUUUUGUGAUUGUUUGCUUAGAGAACCAAGUUGAUUUUUCAGUAUGAUAAAACAAUUAAACACAAAGGGAUAGUUUUUCACAUAGCCCUACCACAAAUUUGACAAAUGAUUGGAAGCAAAUGCAGAUGAAAACAACACUGGAAAUCUGCAGAUGAAAAC
RNAcentral lists this long non-coding RNA (1211 nucleotides) under Panax ginseng (ginseng). RNAcentral's name for it is "long non-coding RNA (PGIN_LNC017136)". Lineage: Eukaryota; Viridiplantae; Streptophyta; Magnoliopsida; Apiales; Araliaceae. The record is from RNAcentral.